CGAUAGUUCACGUUUAAUUUUACUUGUUCUUGUAAAAUCAAUUUGUAUACCGCCGUCAUAAGAUUAUCUUUUUAGAGGAUAAAUUUUCUUUAUAUUUAAGUGGAUAAGAUGUCAGGUCAAGGUGCAGUUUAUGAAUAAGUGGAGAUGGAUUACAAUAAAAUUAUUUAUAUGGAUAUAUGUAUGAAAUUAUUUAUUAAAGGUGGAU
RNAcentral lists this ribosomal RNA (205 nucleotides) under Troglophilus escalerai. Its description in RNAcentral is "partial 12S ribosomal RNA". Lineage: Eukaryota; Metazoa; Arthropoda; Insecta; Orthoptera; Rhaphidophoridae. The record is from RNAcentral.